UUAGUUGAUGAAUCAGCUCAUAAGCCAGUGUAUGCUGAUCUGGCUAUUGCUGCUAAAGGGAAGAGACCUCAGGCAGCACCAACACAAGAACAACCAGUGGUAUAUGCAUCAAUUAACAACAAAUCUGUUCCUCCUCCCAUUCCUCCUCCAGCUGCUCCUCAUAAAGUAUUGUAUGCUGAUCUAUCAAUAGCAGCUGGUAAGAGAACACCAAAGAAUAAACCACCCACUGAGGAAAGAGUAGUCUAUGCAGCAGUAAAUGGAAAUUUCAUUCUAAUCAACAGAACCAACAAUGUAUAAAGUA
Molecule: long non-coding RNA, 301 nt
Organism: Amphimedon queenslandica
Lineage: Eukaryota; Metazoa; Porifera; Demospongiae; Haplosclerida; Niphatidae
Exons: 3
Source: RefSeq, a predicted model, not a curated record